Molecule: ribosomal RNA, 433 nt
Filed under: uncultured bacterium
Lineage: Bacteria
Description: partial 16S ribosomal RNA
Rfam family: Bacterial small subunit ribosomal RNA
Source: RNAcentral
AGCGAACGCUGGCGGCAGGCCUAACACAUGCAAGUCGAACGAACUCUUCGGAGUUGGUGGCGGACGGGUUAGUAACCCGUGGGAACGUGCCUUUUGGUUCGGAAUAACUCAGGGAAACUUGUGCUAAUACCGAAUGUGCCCUUCGGGGGAAAGAUUUAUCGCCAUUAGAGCGGCCCGCGUCUGAUUAGCUAGUUGGGGAGGUAACGGCUCACCAAGGCGACGAUCAGUAGCUGGUCUGAGAGGAUGACCAGCCACACUGGGACUGAGACACGGCCCAGACUCCUACGGGAGGCAGCAGUGGGGAAUCUUGCGCAAUGGGCGAAAGCCUGACGCAGCCAUGCCGCGUGAAUGAUGAAGGUCUUAGGAUUGUAAAAUUCUUUCAACGGGGACGAUAAUGACGGUACCCGGAGAAGAAGCCCCGGCUAACUUCGUG